This 131-nucleotide small nuclear RNA is filed under the name Haemaphysalis longicornis (longhorned tick). RNAcentral's name for it is "U1 spliceosomal RNA". It matches the Rfam family "U1 spliceosomal RNA", at positions 1 to 132 of the family's 166-position model. Rfam says of the family: U1 is a small nuclear RNA (snRNA) component of the spliceosome (involved in pre-mRNA splicing). Its 5' end forms complementary base pairs with the 5' splice junction, thus defining the 5' donor site of an intron. Lineage: Eukaryota; Metazoa; Arthropoda; Arachnida; Ixodida; Ixodidae. The record is from Rfam by way of RNAcentral.
AUACUUACCUGGUGCCGGGGCCUCGUUGAUAACCGAGGACGAGCCCCCAGGGCGAGGCGCGGGCAUUGCACUGCGCUCGCGUUUGUCCCUGCCACUUUCCCAAACUGGGGCACGUGGGGCGUGCAAAUUGC